AGGCGUAUAGCUCAGUGGCAGAGCGCUGCCUUUACAUGGCAGAGGUCGGGGGUUCGAUUCCUUCUGCGCCUACCA
RNAcentral lists this transfer RNA (75 nucleotides) under Alphaproteobacteria bacterium. RNAcentral's name for it is "tRNA-Val". It matches the Rfam family "tRNA". Rfam says of the family: Transfer RNA (tRNA) molecules are approximately 80 nucleotides in length. The record is from RNAcentral. Lineage: Bacteria; Pseudomonadati; Pseudomonadota; Alphaproteobacteria.